AUUUGAGCAGGAGAGACGACACGACACGACACGACACGACGUUAUCUUACUGAAACCCUAGGUCUCGGUCUUUCAAUAAAACCUUGAAUUGAAAUCUCUUUCUCCCUCUUCUCUUUCUGAGAUAUGGCGAAGAAACGAAAGCAGCGAUCCUCUGAACCCGCACCCGUUGAAACCCUUGUUCCGCAGCUUCAAGAGGUUCAAUCGCUGCCUGAAACAAUCCAGGAAGAAGACCCUCAAAACGUGGCCAUAGAAGAUGAUUCCGGAGGACAACAACAAGAGCCUCAAGGAGUAGAGAAAGAGGAGCGAGAAGAACUUGAGCAAGGGAGAGAAGACGAAGAAAAAGAACCAGAAGAAGAAGACGAAGAAGGAGGAGAAGGAGAAGAUAAACAACCGGAAGAACAUCACUCUCAUAACCUAGAAGUCUCAUCAAGUGAUGUAGCACAGUCAAACCCAGAAAUAGCUGAAGCCAAUAGUGCUAAUGAAGGUGCUAGUAAUGGAAACGAAGCAACUGAGGAAGAGGAAAAUGAAGACGACGACUCUCUAGAGAAGCUUCUAGAGCCUUUCGGGAAAGACCAACUGGUUGCCCUCCUCAGAAAGUCCGUGGACAAGCAUCCUGAUUUGAUGGAUUCUGUGCGUGAAAUUGCGGAUGCUGACCCCGCUCACCGCAAGAUCUUUGUGCACGGUCUCGGCUGGGAUACCACUGCUGAAACCCUCAAAUCUGAGUUUGGGAAGUACGGGGAGAUAGAGGACUGUAAGGCCGUGACCGACCGUGUUUCAGGGAAAUCUAAAGGCUAUGCCUUUAUAUUAUUCAAGCAGCGAGCUGGGGCACGAAAAGCCCUCAGGCAGCCCCAGAAAAAGAUAGGUAAUAGGAUUACGUCCUGUCAGUUGGCCACUGCAGGGCCUGUACCAGCUCCACCCCCAACUACGUCAGCAGUGUCCGAGUACACUCAGAGGAAGAUUUUCGUAAGCAAUGUAUCAGCUGAGAUAGAUCCUGAGAAGCUUCUGGAGUUCUUUAGGCAGUACGGGGAGAUUGAGGAAGGUCCACUUGGGCUUGAUAAGCAGACCGGAAAACCCAAGGGGUUUGCAUUAUUCGUGUAUAAGUCAGUUGAGAGUGCAAAGAAGGCACUUGAGGAGCCUCACAAGAAGUUUGAGGGUCAUACGCUGCAUUGCCAGAAGGCCAUAGAUGGGCAAAAAUCAAACAAGACGGGUUAUGGUGCAGUUCACCAUCAGCAUCACCAUCAUCAGCCACAUUACCAGCACACAGCCAAGAAAGGUAAGUACUCGUCUGGUGCACACGGCCCUGGUCAUUUGAUGGCACCGUCUGGGCCAUCUGUGAACUUCAGUCCGGGAAUGGCACCCCAAGGUUUGAACCCGGCGCUUGGGCAGGCCUUAACGGCUUUGGGGCUUGGUAAUCUGCUUGGAGGGCUUGGUGGUGCACCAGUGAAUAUGGGGGGGCCGCCUGCUGGAUACGGUAAUCAGGCUGGUGGGGGAUACGCGAUUGAACCAGGUAUGCAGGGUGGAUAUCCGAACCUACAGAUGAACCCUCAUAUGGGACAGAGCGGUGCUGGCAGAGCUCAACAAGGCAGUGCUCCUUACAUGGGACAUUAGCUAAGAAGGCUAGCGAUAUCUAUUUUGCCACAUUGGAUGUCCUGUGCUCAAGGAUGUAUCCUCCAUCUUGUUUAUUCUAGGAGUAGCAGGAAACCAUAACUGUUAAGUUAUUAGAUUGUUCAUUAUCCAUGCAGAUAAACAAAAUAAGAAUUGUUUGAAAUUGUCUGUCGAGGUGGUUCCUUAUGUUAUGCAUGACCUUAUAGAUACAAUUCUUCUGAUAUAUGUCAGUGAACCAAAUAUCUAGGCUAUAAAUUUCCUUUUGGUUACGUAGUUUUUCCUGUCUUCCUAUCUUUUGGGCUUUUAAGAGCAAAAAUUGGUAUCUAAAGAUUAAUUUACCUGAUAUUUCACCUGUUAUCUGCUUUAUAUUUGCACUGGGGGAGAGAAAUACUUGCGUAUGCAGCUUUGCAUGUGAAUGGCGAUAUUCCUCGCACUGGCAUGUCAUGAUUGUACCUUUUGGGCAUUUCAUCUCAAUAUUGCUUCCUUAUGCCAUAAUAUGCUACCCUACAAUGUAGUUUUCUCUAAAUUUCAUUAUGAUAUUUUACUGAUAUUUAUAUAAGAAUUGAACACUGUUGAACAGUUAUUCUGAAAAGCUGCUCAUUGUUAGUAUUUUGAGGAAGUUAGUUUUGGCUUCUCUUCUUAAACCUCAGAUUCUUUUCAUCAAUGGUGCUAUUGAUAUAAGCUGAAUUUGUAUAUUUAUUUAAUUAUCAAUUUUUGGUAGACUGUAUUUUCUGUUCACGUUUUUUUUUUUUCUUUUGGGGUGGGGGAUGUCUGCUUGCACUUAAAUGUAUUAUAAUUUUGUUAUUCCAUGAAGUUAUAUUAUGGUGUUCUUCAUUAUUCCCUCUCUUUCUUUGUUAAAAUGGCUUGCUAUCAACUUAUUCUCAGUUGCGUAAAAUGUAAGAUGCCUUCAAAUAGAUGCAUCAAUCAUUUACUUUUCAGCCAUGGUGAUUCUUCUGAAGUUCCAGCCACUCUUGCAAAUGAAGUCUUAAAUUUGGAACGAAAAGUUACUAUUUUCUCUACAUUAAAGACCAGACUCUCAAACCUGUAUUUUUUCCUCUAUUGCAGUAUUUUUUUCCCCACCACAUGUUUUUUUUUUUUAAAAACAAUGUAGCACAACUGUUCUAAUAUUUUGUUUCAGAAAUUUGUUGAGUAACAAACAGAAUUCUGAGGACAAGAACUGUAUGUCAUAGAAUUUUCUCUGCAUGACAAUGUCUCUGCUUUUUCUCA
This is an RNA transcript of Manihot esculenta (cassava), 2832 nucleotides long. It is a transcript of the gene named UBP1-associated protein 2A, with no coding region annotated. NCBI's taxonomy places the organism in Eukaryota, Viridiplantae, Streptophyta, Magnoliopsida, Malpighiales, Euphorbiaceae. The record is from RefSeq and is a predicted model, not a curated record. The transcript has 3 exons.